GACGGUACUUGAUGAAUAAGCCACGGCUAAUUCCGUGCCAGCAGCCGCGGUAAUACGGGAGUGGCAAGCGUUAUCCGGAAUUAUUGGGCGUAAAGCGUCCGCAGGCGGCCCUUCAAGUCUGCUGUUAAAAAGUGGAGCUUAACUCCAUCAUGGCAGUGGAAACUGAGGGGCUUGAGUGUGGUAGGGGCAGAGGGAAUUCCCGGUGUAGCGGUGAAAUGCGUAGAUAUCGGGAAGAACACCAGUGGCGAAGGCGCUCUGCUGGGCCAUCACUGACGCUCAUGGACGAAAGCCAGGGGAGCGAAAGGGAUUAGAUACCCCUGUAGUCCUGGCCGUAAACGAUGAACACUAGGUGUCGGGGGAAUCGACCCCCUCGGUGUCGUAGCCAACGCGUUAAGUGUUCCGCCUGGGGAGUACGCACGCAAGUGUGAAACUCAAAGGAAUUGACGGGGGCCCGCACAAGCGGUGGAGUAUGUGGUUUAAUUCGAUGCAACGCGAAGAACCUUACCAGGGUUUGACAUCCUGCGAAUCUCUUGGAAACGAGAGAGUGCCUUCGGGAACGCAGUGACAGGUGGUGCAUGGCUGUCGUCAGCUCGUGUCGUGAGAUGUUGGGUUAAGUCCCGCAACGAGCGCAACCCACGUCUUUAGUUGCCAGCAUUUAGUUGGGCACUCUAGAGAGACCGCCGGUGAUAAACCGGAGGAAGGUGUGGAUGACGUCAAGUCAUCAUGCCCCUUACAUCCUGGGCUACACACGUACUACAAUGCUACGGACAAAGGGCAGCAAGUUCGCGAGGACAAGCAAAUCCCAUAAACCGUGGCUCAGUUCAGAUCGUAGGCUGCAACUCGCCUACGUGAAGGAGGAAUCGCUAGUAAUCGCAGGUCAGCAUACUGCGGUGAAUACGUUCCCGGGCCUUGUACACACCGCCCGUCACACCAUGGAAGUUGGCCACGCCCGAAGCCGUUACUCCAACCCUUGUGGAGGAGGACGUCGAAGGUGGGGCUGAUGACUGGGGUG
RNAcentral lists this ribosomal RNA (1012 nucleotides) under uncultured bacterium. RNAcentral describes it as "bacterial SSU rRNA". It matches the Rfam family "Bacterial small subunit ribosomal RNA", at positions 471 to 1482 of the family's 1533-position model. The record is from RNAcentral.